CUAAGUGAUGAGGUCUCUGCUGGGGACUCACAAAACACUGCCAACUUGGGAAUGUUCCCAGAUCUUCUGAGACUCUUGCCUUUUCCAGCACAUUUCCCUGAUGUUUUAGCAGUUGGGUACAUGCUGUGGACUGCUAUCCUUCUGCCCUCCAUGGGUUCCUUCCUCAAUCUUCGGACAUCACUAACCACACAGAAGGUCAUAAGCAUGAGUAGUGUGGAAACUUGACCUUCGCCUGCUUCUCCGCCCUGCAUCAUGUCCCAGAAGCUUCUAGACCAGCCACGUGUUUCACCGUCUUCUCCUGUCGGACAUCUGCACUCAAGGGCUUGGCAAACAAGCUUGUCUGCUACCUGACUCCUUCCCUGCUUCCUCUGAUUCCCUCUUGCACCCUAGUUGGUCUUCCCUCUACAGUGACGGGUGGCCUGGCUACAUGUCAUAGAACUUCAUUGUAUCAGUUCUGUGUACACCCAGUUGAAAUAAACUUGAGUUAAAAACACAAA
Myodes glareolus (Bank vole) is the source of this 497-nucleotide long non-coding RNA. RefSeq lists it as uncharacterized. The record is from RefSeq and is a predicted model, not a curated record. Lineage: Eukaryota; Metazoa; Chordata; Mammalia; Rodentia; Cricetidae.